RNAcentral lists this ribosomal RNA (449 nucleotides) under uncultured bacterium. RNAcentral's name for it is "bacterial SSU rRNA". It matches the Rfam family "Bacterial small subunit ribosomal RNA", at positions 329 to 795 of the family's 1533-position model. The record is from RNAcentral.
CCCCAGACUCCUACGGGAGGCAGCAGUGGGGAAUAUUGCACAAUGGGGGAAACCCUGAUGCAGCAACGCCGCGUGAGUGAAGAAGUAUUUCGGUAUGUAAAGCUCUAUCAGCAGGGAAGAAGAUGACGGUACCUGAUUAAGAAGCCCCGGCUAACUACGUGCCAGCAGCCGCGGUAAUACGUAGGGGGCAAGCGUUAUCCGGAUUUACUGGGUGUAAAGGGAGCGUAGACGGCCAUGCAAGCCUGGAGUGAAAGCCCGGGGCCCAACCCCGGGACUGCUCUGGGAACUGUGCGGCUGGAGUGCGGGAGGGGCAGGCGGAAUUCCUGGUGUAGCGGUGAAAUGCGUAGAUAUCAGGAGGAACACCGGCGGCGAAGGCGGCCUGCUGGACCGCGACUGACGUUGAGGCUCGAAAGCGUGGGGAGCAAACAGGAUUAGAUACCCCCGUAGUA